RNAcentral lists this ribosomal RNA (253 nucleotides) under uncultured bacterium. Its description in RNAcentral is "partial 16S ribosomal RNA". It matches the Rfam family "Bacterial small subunit ribosomal RNA", at positions 524 to 776 of the family's 1533-position model. The record is from RNAcentral.
UACGUAGGGUCCGAGCGUUGUCCGGAAUUAUUGGGCGUAAAGGGCUCGUAGGCGGUUUGUCGCGUCGGGUGUGAAAACCUACAGCUUAACUGUGGGCUUGCUUUCGAUACGGGCAGACUUGAGGCAUGCAGGGGAGAGCGGAAUUCCUGGUGUAGCGGUGAAAUGCGCAGAUAUCAGGAGGAACACCGGUGGCGAAGGCGGUUCUCUGGGCAUGUUCUGACGCUGAGGAGCGAAAGUGUGGGGAGCGAACAGG